This 158-nucleotide ribosomal RNA is filed under the name Niesslia indica. Its description in RNAcentral is "Monocillium indicum 5.8S ribosomal RNA". It matches the Rfam family "5.8S ribosomal RNA". From Rfam's summary of the family: 5.8S ribosomal RNA (5.8S rRNA) is a component of the large subunit of the eukaryotic ribosome. It is transcribed by RNA polymerase I as part of the 45S precursor that also contains 18S and 28S rRNA. Functionally, it is thought that 5.8S rRNA may be involved in ribosome translocation. The record is from RNAcentral. Lineage: Eukaryota; Fungi; Ascomycota; Sordariomycetes; Hypocreales; Niessliaceae.
AGACUUUCAACAACGGAUCUCUUGGUUCUGGCAUCGAUGAAGAACGCAGCGAAAUGCGAUAAGUAAUGUGAAUUGCAGAAUUCAGUGAAUCAUCGAAUCUUUGAACGCACAUUGCGCCCGCCAGCAUUCUGGCGGGCAUGCCUGCCCGAGCGUCAUUU